UACGUAGGGGGCAAGCGUUGUCCGGAUUUAUUGGGCGUAAAGCGCGUGUAGGCGGCUCGGUAAGUCCGUUGUGAAAACUCGAGGCUCAACCUCGAGACGUCGAUGGAAACCAUCUAGCUAGAGUCCGGAAGAGGAGAGUGGAAUUCCUGGUGUAGCGGUGAAAUGCGCAGAUAUCAGGAGGAACACCGGCGGCGAAGGCGGCGACCUGGCUGGAUACUGACGCUGAGGAGCGAAAGCGUGGGGAGCAAACAGG
This 253-nucleotide ribosomal RNA is filed under the name uncultured bacterium. RNAcentral describes it as "partial 16S ribosomal RNA". It matches the Rfam family "Bacterial small subunit ribosomal RNA", at positions 524 to 776 of the family's 1533-position model. The record is from RNAcentral.